This 428-nucleotide ribosomal RNA is filed under the name uncultured prokaryote. RNAcentral describes it as "bacterial SSU rRNA". It matches the Rfam family "Bacterial small subunit ribosomal RNA", at positions 355 to 776 of the family's 1533-position model. The record is from RNAcentral. RNAcentral also lists the same sequence under 1 other name.
UAGGGAAUCUUCCGCAAUGGGCGAAAGCCUGACGGAGCAACGCCGCGUGAGCGAGGAAGGUCUUCGGAUCGUAAAGCUCUGUUGCCAGGGAAGAAAAGGCGCUUGUUGACUGCAGGCGCAUUGACGGUACCUGAGACAGAAAGCCCCGGCUAACUACGUGCCAGCAGCCGCGGUAAUACGGAGGGGGCAAGCGUUGUCCGGAAUUAUUGGGCGUAAAGCGCGCGUAGGCGGCCCUUUAAGUCUCGUGUUUAAACCCGGAGCUCAACUUCGGGUCGCACGGGAAACUGGGGGGCUUGAGUGCAGGAGAGGGAAACGGAAUUCCACGUGUAGCGGUGAAAUGCGUAGAGAUGUGGAGGAACACCAGUGGCGAAGGCGGCUUCCUGGUCUGUAACUGACGCUGAGGCGCGAAAGCGUGGGGAGCAAACAGG